AGAAUCAACGCUGGCGGCGUGCCUAACACAUGCAAGUCGAACGAGAAAGUGGAGCAAUCCAUGAGUAAAGUGGCGCACGGGUGAGUAACACGUGACUAACCUACCCUUGAGUGGGGGAUAACUUCGGGAAACCGAGGCUAAUACCGCAUAAUACCUACGGGUCAAAGGAGCAAUUCGCUUUAGGAGGGGGUCGCGGUCGAUUAGUUAGUUGGCGGGGUAAUGGCCCACCAAGACAGUGAUCGAUA
This 245-nucleotide ribosomal RNA is filed under the name uncultured bacterium. RNAcentral describes it as "partial small subunit ribosomal RNA". It matches the Rfam family "Bacterial small subunit ribosomal RNA", at positions 26 to 285 of the family's 1533-position model. The record is from RNAcentral.